AGAUGAUACAGGGGAAUCUAAUCCAUUGGACCUGUCUGUCCUCAGUUACCAUAUACCUAUAGUCCCUCAUCCAUCUAAUAUCCCAAAGAUCAUAUAUUGGGUAUAGUGCUAUCAGACCCAUAUGAUUUCUUCUCGAGUCUCGCUCUAAUCAGAUUCUCCCGGAUAACUCUUUCUCUCUCAAUCGAAUGACUCUGGCCAGGGAUUUAUCUGAGUAAGAACACAUAGGAUAUUCCUCUCAUGAUGUCGAGAGUGGAUGAUCCUCUAUCGACACUCAAUAACCCUCGU
Molecule: long non-coding RNA, 285 nt
Filed under: Musa acuminata (dwarf banana)
Lineage: Eukaryota; Viridiplantae; Streptophyta; Magnoliopsida; Zingiberales; Musaceae
Description: long non-coding RNA (MACU_LNC009762)
Source: RNAcentral